GUCUCGUAAGUUGAAGAGGCCAAGAUUUCUUGGGUAAAUAAUAUAUUGCCGUAAGAGUGGAAUGCACCAAUAUUACCCAUAACUGUUAUCUAGCCUUGCUUGGAACUAUUAAAGUCUUAAUUUAGGGAAGAAAUUACACAAGAACACUUGGAAAUUUAGGUUCUUUUCAGGUUGAUAUUCUCUCCAGAGGGAAAAAUUCUGAUGCUUUUAAACCUUGUAGUGGGUUUCUCUUUGAAAUGCUUUAUCAUUGUAUUUUUGUUUGCAAAACACUUGUUUCCCCCAGUUUUAUAGCAGUCUCUCUUCUAUCUUAGUCCACCCUCCAUCUUGCAUUCUAGGGGUUUUCCCCCCUUUUUUUCCUCAUCUGCCUUUAACUUGAUCUUUUGAUCUAUUACCUGUAAACUCCUUAAUUCUGUAGUUCUGUUGCUAUUCUGCGGUAUGUUUUGUUUUUGUUUGGGUCUUUAAACUGCUGCUUUGUCUCCCUUCUUUUAUAUCCCAUUUUCUUCUGAUUCCUGAUGGUUACACAAUGUGAAUGCACAGGAGUGCAUCUGGCUUGGAUUGUGCUCUCUGGUCCAGAUUUAUUUAUGAAUUUGCUAGCAGUGUGUAGUUAAGGGUAUGCUUUGUUUAUUCUUUCAUGCAGCUGAUGGCUGUUGCUGCUUUGGUUUAGAGCCACAGGAGUAAAUGAGGCUUUGAGUGAAUAACUGCAUGUCACCCUGAAUAGAGCAGUUCUCGUGUACCUCAUCUGCAAAAAAUUCAAAAUAAUGGAAACACUGCAUAAUAGGAAUAAGCAGGGUGACUGCGCCAGUGCAAGACUUCGGCACCAAAAAUUCAAGGGCUUUGGCAGCAAAGGAAUAAAACUAUGCCUGUCCCAUAAAGAGUAGGCACGUCUACCUUGUUUGGCUAAAAAAAUCAAAAAAAAAAGAAAAAAAUCACAAACGCUUCCAGAAACAUGAAUGAAGGAACUCAAAAUCAGACUGAGGCUGUUCAGUCCAUUUGAUGGGAAUAUGACUGGCUUCUACUAAGAAUGAUGGACUUGCAUGAGAUACUGAUUUCUGAGCAGCCUGAUGCAGUCACUUCUGGAAACUACUAGUUUUGCAUGUUCUGAAAGGAAGAAUUGAUUGUAUGGUGCGGUGAGAAAUCUCGCUAUCUUUCCAUAUUAAUAAAAUAAAACUAUUUCA
Gavialis gangeticus (Gharial) is the source of this 1175-nucleotide long non-coding RNA. RefSeq lists it as uncharacterized. The record is from RefSeq and is a predicted model, not a curated record. NCBI's taxonomy places the organism in Eukaryota, Metazoa, Chordata, Crocodylia, Gavialidae. The transcript has 2 exons.